This 497-nucleotide ribosomal RNA is filed under the name uncultured bacterium. Its description in RNAcentral is "partial 16S ribosomal RNA". It matches the Rfam family "Bacterial small subunit ribosomal RNA", at positions 28 to 507 of the family's 1533-position model. The record is from RNAcentral.
GAUGAACGCUGGCGGCGUGCCUAAUACAUGCAAGUCGAGCGAACGGACGAGAAGCUUGCUUCUCUGAUGUUAGCGGCGGACGGGUGAGUAACACGUGGAUAACCUACCUAUAAGACUGGGAUAACUUCGGGAAACCGGAGCUAAUACCGGAUGAUAUUUUGAACCGCAUGAUUCAAAAGUGAAAGACGGUCUUGCUGUCACUUAUAGAUGGAUCCGCGCUGCAUUAGCUAGUUGGUAAGGUAACGGCUUACCAAGGCAACGAUGCAUAGCCGACCUGAGAGGGUGAUCGGCCACACUGGAACUGAGACACGGUCCAGACUCCUACGGGAGGCAGCAGUAGGGAAUCUUCCGCAAUGGGCGAAAGCCUGACGGAGCAACGCCGCGUGAGUGAUGAAGGUCUUCGGAUCGUAAAACUCUGCUAUUAGGGAAGAACAUAUGUGUAAGUAACUGUGCACAUCUUGACGGUACCUAAUCAGAAAGCCACGGCUAACUACGUG